Molecule: ribosomal RNA, 493 nt
Filed under: uncultured bacterium
Lineage: Bacteria
Description: bacterial SSU rRNA
Rfam family: Bacterial small subunit ribosomal RNA
Source: RNAcentral
AUGAACGCUAGCGACAGGCCUAACACAUGCAGGUCAGGGGCAGCACAAGGAGCAAUCUGAGGUGGCGACCGGCGCACGGGUGAGUAACACGUAUGCAACCUGCCUGUAAGCGGGGAAUAACCCGUUGAAAGACGGACUAAUACCGCAUAAUACUAAAUUACUGCAUGGUAAUUUAUUUAAACAUUUAUGGCUUACAGAUGGGCAUGCGCAUGAUUAGCUAGUUGGAGAGGUAACGGCUCCCCAAGGCAACGAUCAUUAGGGGUUCUGAGAGGAAGGUCCCCACACUGGUACUGAGACACGGACCAGACUCCUACGGGAGGCAGCAGUGAGGAAUAUUGGUCAAUGGACGAGAGUCUGAACCAGCCAAGUCGCGUGCAGGAAGAAUGUCCUAAUGGAUUGUAAACUGCUUUUGCAGGGGAAUAAAGUGCAUCACGUGUGAUGUUUUGUAUGUACUCUGCGAAUAAGGAUCGGCUAACUCCGUGCCAGCAGCAGC